GAUGAACGCUGGCGGCGUGCCUAAUACAUGCAAGUCGAGCGAACAGACGAGGAGCUUGCUCCUCUGACGUUAGCGGCGGACGGGUGAGUAACACGUGGAUAACCUACCUAUAAGACUGGGAUAACUUCGGGAAACCGGAGCUAAUACCGGAUAAUAUAUUGAACCGCAUGGUUCAAUAGUGAAAGACGGUUUUGCUGUCACUUAUAGAUGGAUCCGCGCCGCAUUAGCUAGUUGGUAAGGUAACGGCUUACCAAGGCGACGAUGCGUAGCCGACCUGAGAGGGUGAUCGGCCACACUGGAACUGAGACACGGUCCAGACUCCUACGGGAGGCAGCAGUAGGGAAUCUUCCGCAAUGGGCGAAAGCUUGACGGAGCACCGCCGCGUGAGUGAUGAAGGUCUUCGGAUCGUAAAACUCUGUUAUUAGGGAAGAACAAAUGUGUAAGUAACUAUGCACGUCUUGACGGUACCUAAUCAGAAAGCCACGGCUAACUACGUG
Molecule: ribosomal RNA, 497 nt
Filed under: uncultured bacterium
Lineage: Bacteria
Description: partial 16S ribosomal RNA
Rfam family: Bacterial small subunit ribosomal RNA
Source: RNAcentral